AUACUAGGGAAGGCAUCGAGCUUGAGGAAGAGGCCCCAUUCAUCUCCGUACCCCAGGCCCUGGUACACAGCAGGCAGCUCCAGGCGGGCACGCAUCUUUGUUGUGUUCUCUGCUGACUAUAUCCUCAGCACCUAGAACUGUGUCUGUCACCUAAUAGAUGCUCAAUAAACCUGCCAGUAAUUUCAGCAAAUGAAACGUGGAACACGUCAAGGCCAGAGGAUGGAAAAGGCUCCAGUUUUGAUAAAAGGAGGCCUGCUUGGCUUGGAAUCCUCUCUCCUGCUGGUUGGGAGAUGCAAAGAUGUUUCCAGAGAGGGGCUGAUGAAUUGAGGGGAAAGAAAUGAGCCCAGUAUGAGUCCCCUUUCAGGGCUGAGCGGGUAUAAAACCAAACAACUUGGAACCGCUCCAAGAGAGGGGAUUAAAGCAACAUGUUAUUCUGAGUGAUUGCUUAAUUUAUUGAGCUGCGGCUGGAUCUGUAAUGAAAUACAGCCCUUGUAACUGAUAACCUCCUGCUGCCAUUGAACUUCUACAAUUAAGGAAUAUUUUCUGAGUUUCUCUGGAACGGCUCUGAAUUUUUAGCCUCUGUGGUAGGGUGCUUCUGAACAUUUGUUUUCCAGGCAAUUUUUUUUUAGUAUUAGGCUGAUGUUAAUAAAUAAGCAGCAUUUUAUUGA
Molecule: long non-coding RNA, 668 nt
Filed under: Pan troglodytes (chimpanzee)
Lineage: Eukaryota; Metazoa; Chordata; Mammalia; Primates; Hominidae
Description: lincRNA
Source: RNAcentral